GACGAACGCUUGCGGCGUGCUUAACACAUGCAAGUCGAACGGAAAGGCCCUGCUUUUGUGGGGUGCUCGAGUGGCGAACGGGUGAGUAACACGUGAGUAACCUGCCCUUGACUUUGGGAUAACUUCAGGAAACUGGGGCUAAUACCGGAUAGGAGCUCCUGCUGCAUGGUGGGGGUUGGAAAGUUUCGGCGGUUGGGGAUGGACUCGCGGCUUAUCAGCUUGUUGGUGGGGUAGUGGCUUACCAAGGCUUUGACGGGUAGCCGGCCUGAGAGGGUGACCGGCCACAUUGGGACUGAGAUACGGCCCAGACUCCUACGGGAGGCAGCAGUGGGGAAUAUUGCACAAUGGGCGGAAGCCUGAUGCAGCAACGCCGCGUGCGGGAUGACGGCCUUCGGGUUGUAAACCGCUUUCGCCUGUGACGAAGCGUGAGUGACGGUAAUGGGUAAAGAAGCACCGGCUAACUACGUGCCAGCAGCCGCGGUGAUACGUAGGGUGCGAGCGUUGUCCGGAUUUAUUGGGCGUAAAGGGCUCGUAGGUGGUUGAUCGCGUCGGAAGUGUAAUCUUGGGGCUUAACCCUGAGCGUGCUUUCGAUACGGGUUGACUUGAGGAAGGUAGGGGAGAAUGGAAUUCCUGGUGGAGCGGUGGAAUGCGCAGAUAUCAGGAGGAACACCAGUGGCGAAGGCGGUUCUCUGGGCCUUUCCUGACGCUGAGGAGCGAAGGCGUGGGGAGCGAACAGGCUUAGAUGCCCUGGUAGUCCACGCUGUAAACGGUGGGUACUAGGUGUGGGGUCCAUUCCACGGGUUCCGUGCCGUAGCUAACGCUUUAAGUACCCCGCCUGGGGAGUACGGCCGCAAGGCUAAAACUCAAAGGAAUUGACGGGGCCCCGCACAAGCGGCGGAGCAUGCGGAUUAAUUCGAUGCAACGCGUAGAACCUUACCUGGGUUUGACAUGGAUCGGGAGUGCUCAGAGAUGGGUGUGCCUCUUUUGGGGUCGGUUCACAGGUGGUGCAUGGCUGUCGUCAGCUCGUGUCGUGAGAUGUUGGGUUAAGUCCCGCAACGAGCGCAACCCUUGUUCACUGUUGCCAGCACGUUAUGGUGGGGACUCAGUGGAGACCGCCGGGGUCAACUCGGAGGAAGGUGGGGAUGACGUCAAGUCAUCAUGCCCCUUAUGUCCAGGGCUUCACGCAUGCUACAAUGGCUGGUACAGAGAGUGGCGAGCCUGUGAGGGUGAGCGAAUCUCGGAAAGCCGGUCUCAGUUCGGAUUGGGGUCUGCAACUCGACCUCAUGAAGUCGGAGUCGCUAGUAAUCGCAGAUCAGCAACGCUGCGGUGAAUACGUUCCCGGG
Molecule: ribosomal RNA, 1343 nt
Filed under: uncultured bacterium
Lineage: Bacteria
Description: 16S ribosomal RNA
Rfam family: Bacterial small subunit ribosomal RNA
Source: RNAcentral